RNAcentral lists this long non-coding RNA (2033 nucleotides) under Vitis vinifera (wine grape). Its description in RNAcentral is "long non-coding RNA (VVIN_LNC007125)". Lineage: Eukaryota; Viridiplantae; Streptophyta; Magnoliopsida; Vitales; Vitaceae. The record is from RNAcentral.
UUUCAUAGAAACGUGUUUGAUUGCUAUUUAAAAAACUUCUUAGUACCUAAAUAUCUCUGUUGCAGCUGGCAUGGAUUCAUCAUACUCCUUGGCUCCACUGGCUACUGUCAGGUCAAGAUGUGUUUCAUUACCAAAGCAUGCCUUCUUACAAGAACUAUAGUGGAAACUAGACCCUCACAUAGAUUCUCUGUCCAUAACCAUCCAAUAUAAACAUUAACCUAAGUAAAUGAGAAUGACUAGCUUGUAACUUGACAAAGAAUAAAUCAAAAGGUAAUUUAAAAGGACAUGACAGAAUAUCAAUUAGCAUAUAAAAGGUGGAGGGUUUAGAAGAAUUAUCAGAAAAAUAAAGACAUGUCUUCAUACUAAGGCAAUAAUAGAUAUGACUUACACUGAUAAACCUAGAUUACCAUUCCAUGUGAAUGGUUGAUAACAAACAGGACAAGCUAAAAUGCUCUUGCUGAUGCUAACCUCCUUUUCAACUGAAAUAGAAUCCUGAACAUAAGAAAUAAGAUACAAUAUAUUGUGUCAUGACAGGAAAAAUUAAUUAUUUCGUAAUUCCUCAUGUGAAUUGACUGUAAUUGAAAAAAUAAAAAGACAUCAUCUCAUUAGUACCAUAUGAUAAUUUUCCUCACAUUUUCCCUCAAAAUUUCCAAAAACCAAACAUAGGGAAAAAAGAAAAGAAAUUAAAGCAUAAAAGAUGAAUUUGGUUGUAUAGAAUUUGCAGCCUUGGAAUUGAUAAUUUUCCCCUUUUGUGGUGGAUGCCCCAGUGUCAAGUCCACCGUUUGGUUGUUUUCUAUACCAACUGGAUUUCUAGUUGAAUUUAAAAGCCAUAAACCCAAAUUCCCCAAGAACAAGUAAGCAACUCCAAGAUAAAAGCCGGUUCUCCAGUUCCGUAAAAAUUGAACUUUAAACCAAAUCCAAUUCUACCUAACCAAAUGCAGCCUAAUUCUUUAAGAACCAUAAAAGAAUAAUGAAUGAAUCAAGAAUGGACAAAUACAUUGAAAAAAAAAAUCAGGGGCAAUACAAAUUCUCAAAAAAAACUAAUCAUAAAGAAUCACAUAUGAAUUAAAACAAUUCCUAUGAAUCUGUUUUAUGCUCGAUUGACCAAAAAAAUAUAACAGUAGAACUUGCUUUGUCUCUCACGUAUGUUCAUUGCACAUGCGCACACAGUUACCAAUUGACACAGCCACCAAUUGCAAUGGAAAAUGGGGGCUGGUGGUUUUGGGGAGUGGAGGAAUUUAUUUUAAAAGGGACUUUCAACAUGCACAGAAGGAGAUGGGAAUAAAAAAAAAAUGGAAAGAUAAGGGGUGAGAAGACACAACCGAGAAGGAGGAUGUCUUUGUGGAUGGAGAAAACACACAACUGGAACUCUCCAUUACCAGCCACAAGAAAAGUAAAAAAAUGUGACCAAAACAGGGCAUAAAUGGGUAAAUCAAAAUGAACAAAACCCACAUUUCAUGCCUAAUCAACAAAUCAAGAACAGAGUAGAACAGAGCAUGUACGCGUGAACCGUGUUUCUUCUCCACUACAACCCAUAAAAUUAGGGCACGAUUUGAAACUCGACCAACAUCAGAACACUUGCAAUAAAUGAUGAAUAUGGAGUUGAAAGAGUGGAUAAUCACCUGAUUUGUCGCUCGUUGGUGGAAUUUGUAAGAGAAUAAUGGAGUUUCAGUGGUUAUUCUCUGUUAUGAGAGUCACAAAAUGGAGAUUCAAAAAUGAUCUCCAGUUUUUAAUACUCAAGAUCUCACACUAAGGCUUGGAAACACACCGUCUAGCUAGAUCUCCAAUGUCAAGAGCCUCAUCUGGAGUCAUUGAUCAAUGUUGAUUGCGGUUAACUGGGCUCCUAGGGUUUUUCGGGGUUUUGCAAAAAUGGAGGGAAUGUUUGGCACUAUGAGGUCGUGGGUAAGAAUGGGAAAUUUUUUAGCCAUAUAUAAAGGUGUUGUUUUAAUGUCACUUUUAUAGAGCGCCAAGGUAAAAAUUGAUAAAUGAAGACGCUUAUAUAAAACGUCGUGCUAUAGGAAGCGCCAUCAUCC